GACGAACGCUGGCGGCGUGCUUAACACAUGCAAGUCGAACGAGAAUCUACUGAAAGAGUUUUCGGACAAUGGAAGUAGAGGAAAGUGGCGGACGGGUGAGUAACGCGUGAGGAACCUGCCUUGAAGAGGGGGACAACAGUUGGAAACGACUGCUAAUACCGCAUGACGCAUAGAGGUCGCAUGAUCUUUAUGCCAAAGAUUUAUCGCCUCAAGAUGGCCUCGCGUCUGAUUAGCUGGUUGGCGGGGUAACGGAACACCAAGGCGACGAUCAGUAGCCGGACUGAGAGGUUGAACGGCCACAUUGGGACUGAGAUACGGCCCAGACUCCUACGGGAGGCAGCAGUGGGGAAUAUUGGGCAAUGGGCGCAAGCCUGACCCAGCAACGCCGCGUGAAGGAAGAAGGCUUUCGGGUUGUAAACUUCUUUUAAGAGGGAAGAGCAGAAGACGGUACCUCUAGAAUAAGCCACGGCUAACUACGUGCCAGCAGCCGCGGUAA
Molecule: ribosomal RNA, 496 nt
Filed under: uncultured bacterium
Lineage: Bacteria
Description: partial 16S ribosomal RNA
Rfam family: Bacterial small subunit ribosomal RNA
Source: RNAcentral